RNAcentral lists this ribosomal RNA (444 nucleotides) under Klebsiella pneumoniae. RNAcentral's name for it is "bacterial SSU rRNA". It matches the Rfam family "Bacterial small subunit ribosomal RNA", at positions 338 to 794 of the family's 1533-position model. Lineage: Bacteria; Pseudomonadati; Pseudomonadota; Gammaproteobacteria; Enterobacterales; Enterobacteriaceae. The record is from RNAcentral.
CCUACGGGAGGCAGCAGUGGGGAAUAUUGCACAAUGGGCGGAAGCCUGAUGCAGCGACGCCGCGUGGGGGAUGAAGGCCUUCGGGUUGUAAACUCCUUUCGACAGGGACGAAGCUUUUGUGACGGUACCUGUAUAAGAAGCACCGGCUAACUACGUGCCAGCAGCCGCGGUAAUACGUAGGGUGCGAGCGUUGUCCGGAAUUACUGGGCGUAAAGAGCUCGUAGGUGGUUUGUCGCGUCGUCUGUGAAAUUCCGGGGCUUAACUCCGGGCGUGCAGGCGAUACGGGCUGACUUGAGUGCUGUAGGGGAGACUGGAAUUCCUGGUGUAGCGGUGAAAUGCGCAGAUAUCAGGAGGAACACCGAUGGCGAAGGCAGGUCUCUGGGCAGUAACUGACGCUGAGGAGCGAAAGCAUGGGUAGCGAACAGGAUUAGAUACCCCUGUAGU